This 259-nucleotide long non-coding RNA is filed under the name Lathyrus oleraceus (garden pea). RNAcentral's name for it is "Pisum sativum (pea) long non-coding RNA (PSAT_LNC033610)". The record is from RNAcentral. Lineage: Eukaryota; Viridiplantae; Streptophyta; Magnoliopsida; Fabales; Fabaceae.
AUACAUGCAAUAUUUUUUUUAAUUUUAGAAGAUUUUAGUUCAGUAUGUAUCGAUACACCCGUGUUUUGGAUCGAUACAUGCUUGUUUUAAAAAUGAAAUUUGAGCUACAUGUAUCGAUACAUUCUGCAAUGUGUCGAUCCAUCCCGAAUUUUUUUCUGUAACCUGACUUGGGCCGACCCAUUGGCCCAUUUACACUUCUUAAAACUAUCUUUCUUCCAUAUAUCUCUCUUUUUCGUCAAAAAAUGGCCAACCCUAGUUU